UGAGUAACCUGCCCUUGACUCUGGGAUAAGCCUGGGAAACCGGGUCUAAUACCGGAUAUGGCUGCCGGCCGCAUGGCCUGGUGGUGGAAAGCUUUAUUGCGGUUUUGGAUGGACUCGCGGCCUAUCAGCUUGUUGGCGGGGUAAUGGCCCACCAAGGCGACGACGGGUAGCCGGCCUGAGAGGGUGACCGGCCACACUGGGACUGAGACAUGGCCCAGACUCCUACGGGAGGCAG
RNAcentral lists this ribosomal RNA (235 nucleotides) under uncultured bacterium. RNAcentral describes it as "partial 16S ribosomal RNA". It matches the Rfam family "Bacterial small subunit ribosomal RNA", at positions 118 to 351 of the family's 1533-position model. The record is from RNAcentral.